GAAUGCUGACAUAAGUAACGAUAAAGCGGGUGAAAAGCCCGCUCGCCGGAAGACCAAGGGUUCCUGUCCAACGUUAAUCGGGGCAGGGUGAGUCGACCCCUAAGGCGAGGCCGAAAGGCGUAGUCGAUGGGAAACGGGUUAAUAUUCCCGUACUUGGUGUUACUGCGAAGGGGGGACGGAGAAGGCUAUGUUGGCCGGGCGACGGUUGUCCCGGUUUAAGCGUGUAGGUGUGUGUUCCAGGUAAAUCCGGUUCACUUUAACACUGAGGCGUGACGACGAGGCACUACGGUGCUGAAGCAACAAAUGCCCUGCUUCCAGGAAAAGCCUCUAAGCAUCAGGUAACACGAAAUCGUACCCCAAACCGACACAGGUGGUCAGGUAGAGAAUACCAAGGCGCUUGAGAGAACUCGGGUGAAGGAACUAGGCAAAAUGGUGCCGUAACUUCGGGAGAAGGCACGCUGACACGUAGGUGAAGUGA
RNAcentral lists this ribosomal RNA (478 nucleotides) under Salmonella enterica subsp. enterica. RNAcentral's name for it is "partial 23S ribosomal RNA". It matches the Rfam family "Bacterial large subunit ribosomal RNA", at positions 1292 to 1775 of the family's 2925-position model. Lineage: Bacteria; Pseudomonadati; Pseudomonadota; Gammaproteobacteria; Enterobacterales; Enterobacteriaceae. The record is from RNAcentral.